This 481-nucleotide ribosomal RNA is filed under the name Streptococcus salivarius. Its description in RNAcentral is "bacterial SSU rRNA". It matches the Rfam family "Bacterial small subunit ribosomal RNA", at positions 475 to 957 of the family's 1533-position model. The record is from RNAcentral. Lineage: Bacteria; Bacillati; Bacillota; Bacilli; Lactobacillales; Streptococcaceae.
GUAGCUUACCAGAAAGGGACGGCUACUACGUGCCAGCAGCCGCGGUAAUACGUAGGUCCCGAGCGUUGUCCGGAUUUAUUGGGCGUAAAGCGAGCGCAGGCGGUUUGAUAAGUCUGAAGUUAAAGGCUGUGGCUCAACCAUAGUUCGCUUUGGAAACUGUCAAACUUGAGUGCAGAAGGGGAGAGUGGAAUUCCAUGUGUAGCGGUGAAAUGCGUAGAUAUAUGGAGGAACACCGGUGGCGAAAGCGGCUCUCUGGUCUGUAACUGACGCUGAGGCUCGAAAGCGUGGGGAGCGAACAGGAUUAGAUACCCUGGUAGUCCACGCCGUAAACGAUGAGUGCUAGGUGUUGGAUCCUUUCCGGGAUUAAGUGCCGCACCUAACGCAUAAGCACUCCGCCUGGGGAGUACGACCGCAAGGUUGAAACUCAAAGGAAUUGACGGGGGCCCGCACAAGCGGUGGAGCAUGUGGUUUAAUUCGAAGC